UAAAGAUUCAUCGCUGAUAGAUAGGCAUGCGUUCCAUUAGGCAGUUGGCGGGGUAACGGCCCACCAAACCGACGAUGGAUAGGGGUUCUGAGAGGAAGGUCCCCCACAUUGGUACUGAGACACGGACCAAACUCCUACGGGAGGCAGUAGUGAGGAAUAUUGGUCAAUGGGCGUAAGCCUGAACCAGCCAAGUCGCGUGAGGGAUGAAGGUUCUAUGGAUCGUAAACCUCUUUUAUAAGGGAAUAAAGUGCGGGACGUGUCCCGUUUUGUAUGUACCUUAUGAAUAAGGAUCGGCUAACUCCGUGCCAGCAGCCGCGGUAAUACGGAGGAUCCGAGCGUUAUCCGGAUUUAUUGGGUUUAAAGGGUGCGUAGGCGGCCUUUUAAGUCAGCGGUGAAAGUCUGUGGCUCAACCAUAGAAUUGCCGUUGAAACUGGGAGGCUUGAGUAUGUUUGAGGCAGGCGGAAUGCGUGGUGUAGCGGUGAAAUGCUUAGAUAUCACGCAGAACCCCGAUUGCGAAGGCAGCCUGCCAAGCCAUGACUGACGCUGAUGCACGAAAGCGUGGGGAUCAAACAGGAUUAGAUACCCUGGUAGUCCACGCAGUAAACGAUGAUCACUAGCUGUUUGCGAUACACAGUAA
RNAcentral lists this ribosomal RNA (637 nucleotides) under uncultured bacterium. RNAcentral's name for it is "bacterial SSU rRNA". It matches the Rfam family "Bacterial small subunit ribosomal RNA", at positions 202 to 842 of the family's 1533-position model. The record is from RNAcentral.